GGUUAAGCGACUAAGCGUACACGGUGGAUGCCCUGGCAGUCAGAGGCGAUGAAGGACGUGCUAAUCUGCGAAAAGCGCCGGCGAGGUGAUAUGAACCUUUGACCCGG
This 107-nucleotide ribosomal RNA is filed under the name Enterobacter asburiae. Its description in RNAcentral is "partial 23S ribosomal RNA". It matches the Rfam family "Bacterial large subunit ribosomal RNA", at positions 1 to 107 of the family's 2925-position model. The record is from RNAcentral. Lineage: Bacteria; Pseudomonadati; Pseudomonadota; Gammaproteobacteria; Enterobacterales; Enterobacteriaceae. RNAcentral also lists the same sequence under 8 other names.